Molecule: long non-coding RNA, 4681 nt
Organism: Equus quagga
Lineage: Eukaryota; Metazoa; Chordata; Mammalia; Perissodactyla; Equidae
Exons: 2
Source: RefSeq, a predicted model, not a curated record
ACAGCAAGAUUUAUUAUUAUUAAUACAUCCAAAAGAAAGAAAGAAAAAUCAUUUUGUCACACUAUAUACAGAUAAUACAUACAGUGUUUUAUACACAUAUUACAUCAGUUUUUACACAAGAAAAAUAUACAUAAAAAUGUAAACUUUUGUAUACAAAAACCCUUAAACAAAUUAAACAAGGACCAGAUAACAAAAGGAGACCAAUCCAUUAUUAUUUCAUCAAAUUUUUAAAACAGUAAUACAGUACAUUCAUUGAGAUAUAUAUGGAAAACGUGAGCCAUCUCUUCUUGUUUAAAGGGAAAUUACAAACCAAAAGCCCAUCUUCAAACGCAGUCUCCCCAGCAACCACACCCAACGCCCCGGUGCCUUUCGUCAGGACGGGGGCUCUGCCCGCAGCCUGCCUGUCUCACCUUCUCCUAGUCUGUGCAGAAAUGAGUGGCUCCGGGUUCUUGUGCAUAUAACUGAGCUCCCAGCCGCUACCCACACAGAUGCAGAGCAGAUUCUCAGUUUGUAAGUUCCCUUUAAGCAGUUGUUUGUUUGGUUUUUUUUUAGAUAUUUUUAAUGUAUGGCCUGUUAAACGUGUGUGCCAAGGUGAAGGAGCGCACUGAAAAAGGAGGGCUUUGAGAAUGCUAGUCCUUGCUACCGUGCAGUUACUUUGUUACAAGAGAUUUUAAAACUGUGCCACCUGCCUGUCACUCACUGGUUUCAGAUCAGCUAACUGCCUCUGAUUUCCCACUGCAACUUGAUUUCAACUCUGCCUCAGUCCACUAGUUAGUACCAUGCAACCGCCAAGGGGCUCCUGUCAAAGGCUGCUUCUGAUAUCAGGUUCCGCAAAGCUGCUGUGUGAAAUCGUCCCAACCCCAACCUCUCUAUUUCAGUUCUCAGGGGUACUCUUACUCCCCUGUUUCUUGUAAGGGCUUACAAGUUAGGAUUGUCCAUCUAUCUUCUCUCUCUGUAAAGUCUUGAAAUGUAAUCUGCUGCCAAGUCGUCAAAAUAAGAUACCUAAGUUUUUUCUUAACAUUCUUUCAUUCAGUGUACCAAAUUGGUAUACUAAUGAAAAUCCCUGAAGCUGUGAGAAUAAGAAUUGAAUCUAGGUCAAGUGCAUGCGGACUUGGAGUUCUUUUUUAAAAAAAAAAAAAAUCUGGGAAGACCCUUAACUAAAUAAAUGCGAAACAUACUUAGGACAGAAAUAAAUGCAAAACAUACUCAGGACAGCUUCACGAGAGCGGCCCUCUCAAAGCUGGAUCCUGAACAAGGUGGAACAACGAGGCGAUUUAUUUCCCUGCAGCUAGAGAGCAGUUAACUUCCUCCAGGCAAAAUGACAUCCAUGAUCAUUGUUUAUUAGCGAGAGGAAGAGGCAAACCGACGAAUGAAGUCGAUCCAGGAGAAGGAGGGUGACAUGCACUAAGGGAAAUGUUAGGAUUGCUCCGUAACUGCAAUAAACAGGCCAGGUGGAGGAACAGCUUCAUUUCAGAGAGGAAAAUGCACAGGGUCCCACAUGUGAGCCUCCAGCUCUCUCCUACUCUCACGGGACAGAUGGCGUUUUUAAAACGACAGUCUCCCUUUUAGUUAAGAAAACAUAACAGUAAAAGGAAAAGGAAGAUAAAUAAAUAACGUGUGGAUGUCUUUAGAUGAGACUUUUCAAUGUUCUUUAAAUAAUUUUUGAUAAUGUAUUUUAAAUCAUUACAUACGACUGCCAUUGCAGUGACAAUAUUCCAGUAGGGGCAGCAUUUUGCUAAAUGUAAAAGAUUGCCAUUUAAAACUCAUACAUAUACAUGUGUAUAUACAGUAUAUCAACACUAUUUAUAUACAUAUAUAUUUAGAGAGCAACGAUGCAUUGCCUUGAGUAUCUAUAUAUUCACUCUCACAAUAUAUACCAGAGACAUACUGUGUGAGUAUAUUCCAGAGUGUGUGCACACAUGCUCCCACAUGUAUGUAGACACUUCAGUCUGUGUGUGCAUAAGAGCUUUAAAGGCACAAUAUAUAGGGAUGCGAGUCUUCUAGAGAGCUGCAGCAAAGUUAGAACAAUGUCACAAAUGUGAGAAAAGGCAAAAGAUAUAGCAGAAUUCAUGACACAAGAAUUGAUUACAGCAGUUCCAUCAUGAGUAAAAUGAGCUAUAGAAUUCAAGAGGCUUCCACAUGACUUUGUAUGCUUGCAUUUAAAUGAAAAUGGUAAAUCCAUGAUUAAACUACAAAGUAAACCAAAUUAUUAAAUGGCAAAUGAAUGACAAUAGAUGAGAAAAUAAAGUUAACACUAAUAUCAAUCGUAAAGUCAUAAUUAUGUUCUUGUUUACUUUAAGUAAAAUAUCCCAAAAUCACCUAGGUAAAACUUUCAAAGUGAUUUUGUUUGAAUGUUGGCUGUUUAUUUUUGAGACAGAGAUGAAUGCCCAAUUCUCAAAAUUACUACAGAAAAUAUUACCAAAACUUACAUCUUCUGGGAAAUUUCCGAGAUAAAGAUCUUUAAAAGAAACUGAGAAGUUAAUGAAAUAUGCUUAAGCCAAAUGCUUCUGGCUAGAAAGGAUGUAAAAAAGGGAAAACACAGUGAAGUGUGAUGUUCAGAUGAUGAGAGGUUGACUUAGAAGGUGGUGAAGAUCAAGAAGAGUGGGCUUGGCAAGAAGAGUUCCAACAGGAAUUCACCUCCAUAAUAAACCUACAACCAAAGGACUUCCAUCUCAGUAUGCCCUGAUGUACUCCAGACUGUCACCUCCUCUUGCUUACAGAAUAAUCCAGAAUUUUCCAUAGAUGUAUAAUCUUGCUUAAUAAAGGCUGUUUAUCUAUUGUACACACACACAUUUUUUAUGGAAAUAUAUGUAUAUAGCUUUAUCUAUACACACACAUAUACAUACGUGUAUAUAUAGAUUUAUACAAAUGUAUAAAUAAACAUAAUACUUCUCAAACUUUCCAUUGACAAGGCAAGUUCACAUUCAGCAAAGUGCCACCACAUUCCAUAUACACAUCUCUGUACAGAUAUACACAAAAAGGUCUACUUUCGCCCUUCAAUCAGGGGGAAUUUAUUCUAGCAAAUCCCAUUAACCAGUAACCGAAGGGAGAAAUGGCACCAAUACAAGCUCCCUUCUUUCAUUUGCAUGCAUAUGUACAAGAAAUAUGUAGAUUUUUUUAUAAUCCAUAAAGCAAGAAUGAAUGAAACUGGGAGAUGCUGCAAAAAUACAACUGUAAAAGAAGAACAACGUACGAAGCUUUCCUAGGUCCUGACUGUAUCUAGGAUGAACGAUGCUGCAGGGAUAGCUACAAAUUCAGGUGUGUUAUCAGAAGUUGUUUUGACGUGUUUCAAAGUACAUGAUUUUUUUAUGUUAAAAAUAAAUGUGACUGGAGCAUUUAAUAACAACUCUAGCUUUGGCUAUUUCAGACCACCAGAUACUUCAGUAACGAAUGUAUAGCAAAAUGACAAAAUUCAAAGUAUAGGAAUGUUUUUUUAAAAAUUCCAUACGAAUCAGGUAAAAGUCAAGGGCAGCAUAAUUUUUCCUAUAACCAAAACAUGGUGGGGGGGGGGGGGGUAAGGGGCCAUGCUAACUUCAUAAAUAAUAGCACAACUGAGUAAUUUUUUAAAAAUUAUUGGAAAUAACUGAAAUCAUCCCAGCUUUGAAAUACGCAUGGUGAAAUGAUCCCACCGACUCUUUGUCCAAAAAUGGCGUUCUUUAUAAAAGGUCUAUCCUUUUCUUAACUUCACCAAGAAAAGAUGAUCAACAAUAUUUUCUAACUCAGAAUAUGAAAAAAUCUAUUAUUAACAUUAAAAAAAGGUUCAAAUGAUCUCUGGUCCCAUCACCCCAACAGAUAAACACAGCUCACGUCUGAGUCUGUCUCUCCCUCAUUUUUAUGCUCAAAGGCGAGAGGCUGGUCUUAGAACCUGCUGUUUUUCAUGCCACUUUAAAAACACAGCAUAAUAUAAGUUAACCACAAGGUUAAAAGAAAAUCACAUGAUAUCAGAACUAGCCUUUUAACAUACGAUAACAUAAUGAAAAAUUUGGUGUAUUUAUACAACAGAGACAAUGAGAAAAUAACUCCAAUACCCUCAACUAAAUAACUUGUAUUUCUACAACACAUUCUGUUACCUCUCUCUCUUUACCUAAGCACACAUUCAUCUCUCACACACGUGCCCCAAUGUCUAUUUCUGCAUGUGUGUAACAAGACAGACAUAUACACGCACACCAGCAGUUUAAUUACAUUUGUAAGUCACAGUGGGAAUUCCUUAGUGAGGAGGGAUUAAGUUCCUGAAUGAGACACUGAGAACAUCUAGGUUUAUUAUUUUCUCUAUUUUACUUCCCAACCUACAGGAUACACUGUAAAUUAAAGGAUAAAUUCAUAGGAAACAAAAGAGGUCUUACAGACUCAGUUUACCAAUUCCAGCUGCAGUAGUCGGGAGCUCACUUGAUCUAUGCAUUUCUAUUUACCCUGUAACUAGGCUCUCGCCGUCCUAAGUGGAAACCACAGAUCACUGACUAAAGAAACUGAUUCUCAGCAGUCCUACGAGAAGCAAUAAAUGGUCUAAAGGUGUCCUACGUUUCCAGGCCCAGGAUGUCCUCUUAUUUCAUGCACCUGCAAGGUAGCAAAGGACAGUUGUACACCUCGACACGGCCGGUCCAGUGUAAGAAGGUGCUCCGCUAGUUUGUUUUGCCAAAAAAAAAAAAAAAAAAAGCUCAUAUAUAAUUUUUUAGUUAUUAAA